UGGUCCAUCCUAAUCCCUGCCGGUCCACCUGUGGCCUGCCAGGUUUCACUUGGGGACCAGAGCUCUCUGGAAGCCUCACCCAUAGAAGCGAGCAGGGCUUCAGUGGGCUUGUGCCGGGGCAUUUCUGGAUACUC
Molecule: small nucleolar RNA, 134 nt
Organism: Ailuropoda melanoleuca (giant panda)
Lineage: Eukaryota; Metazoa; Chordata; Mammalia; Carnivora; Ursidae
Source: Ensembl